AUAAAUUUUUCACAGAUUUACCGUAUAUGCUGCUAAUAAGGCGCAGCGUUUCUACUAGACACCUCAAAUGUCUAACUAUGGAGGCACCUUGAAACAUU
This 98-nucleotide non-coding RNA is filed under the name Bdellovibrio bacteriovorus. RNAcentral's name for it is "Guanine sequence". It matches the Rfam family "Purine riboswitch aptamer". Rfam says of the family: Riboswitches are metabolite binding domains within certain messenger RNAs that serve as precision sensors for their corresponding targets. The record is from RNAcentral. Lineage: Bacteria; Pseudomonadati; Bdellovibrionota; Bdellovibrionia; Bdellovibrionales; Pseudobdellovibrionaceae.